CAGGUCUUCAAUGUAGCGAGAAAUUCCCGCACCCGGAAGCGUCCUUCAGCUGGCCCCUAAACAAAUAUAUGCUAGUUCAGUGAUAAUGAACGCCAUACUAAUUUCCAAAUUGUACACAAGAAACUAAAAUUAAAAAUAAUACAAGACUAACAAAGGCCAGAGGCUCCUGACUUGGGACAGGCGCAAAAAUGCGGCGGGGUUAAACAUGUUUGUGAGAUCUCAACCCUCCCCCUAUACCUCUAGCCAAUGUAGAAAAGUAAACGCAUAACAAUACGCACAUUAAAAUUCAGUUCAAGAGAAGUCCGAGUCUGAUGUCAGAAGAUGUAACCAA
This 331-nucleotide long non-coding RNA is filed under the name Mytilus galloprovincialis (Mediterranean mussel). The record is from RNAcentral. Lineage: Eukaryota; Metazoa; Mollusca; Bivalvia; Mytilida; Mytilidae.